Molecule: ribosomal RNA, 429 nt
Filed under: bacterium
Lineage: Bacteria
Description: partial 16S ribosomal RNA
Rfam family: Bacterial small subunit ribosomal RNA
Source: RNAcentral
UAGGGAAUCUUCCACAAUGGACGCAAGUCUGAUGGAGCAACGCCGCGUGAGUGAAGAAGGUUUUCGGAUCGUAAAGCUCUGUUGUUGGUGUAGAAGGAUAGAGGCAGUAACUGGUCUUUAUUUGACGGUAAUCAACCAGAAAGUCACGGCUAACUACGUGCCAGCAGCCGCGGUAAUACGUAGGUGGCAAGCGUUGUCCGGAUUUAUUGGGCGUAAAGCGAGCGCAGGCGGAAUGAUAAGUCUGAUGUGAAAGCCCACGGCUCAACCGUGGAACUGCAUCGGAAACUGUCAUUCUUGAGUGCAGAAGAGGAGAGUGGAAUUCCAUGUGUAGCAGUGGAAUGCGUAGAUAUAUGGAAGAACACCAGUGGCGAAGGCGGCUCUCUGGUCUGCAACUGACGCUGAGGCUCGAAAGCAUGGGUAGCGAACAGG